CCUCCUAGUUCUGUUGAUAUUUAUAACUUCUCUGUGCGACACCUGACACUUCAAUCCUGCGCCGGCAGGGUCCUGCCAGAGCAGGGUGGGGACCUGCAGAGGAGCUCAUUCUUCAGGACCAGGAGGAUCAAGAGAAGGAGAAGCCAAGAAUUCCAAUGCGUUUGAAAGUUCCUUGAAUGGAUGGUUCAAAAUCUUGGCCCAGGAAAAGCAAACCUACAGUUUUACCGCUUCAGUAUUCCUUCGACGUCAUUCAUCUUCCCAGCAGGCAGAAUUACUACUGAUUAAAUGCAAAUCAUAUCCUGUAUUCUGUUAUUUUUUCAAACAUUUUACAAUUUGGUUGUCAAUGGGUGACCUUAAGACAUAAAGCAGCUAAUUAUCCACUCACUCCAUCCAUCUCCCAGCCAUUUAUUCAGCAUUUGCGGAAGGAUCCUAUCUUCUCAAUUAUCAUUUUCUUUCUCGCACCACUAAAGCAGAUUUUAUAUUCUCUCUUCCGCUGUUUUCAGGUUGUAAUAACAUAUAAUGGCAUCAUGUUUUAUCUUUAUAAAUUCAAGACUAUUCAUUUGUAACGUCUUUCAGAAUCGCACUUCCCUUUUUUUCUGGUGUUUAUAAUUUUACUUAAAUGUACGUCUAAACCCACGUCCAAACCCAUAUUGGGUGUGACCUUUCCAAGUAUGAAAUGAUAUUCUUACACCUUCCAAAUUAGAAUUGUAGGCUCUAUGUUGGGUAGAAACACUGAAGCUGGCUGUACAGAAAUUUUCCAGUUAAAACACUGGGUUGUCAUACACUGGGUAUUGGUUGUCUAUAACCCAAAAGAUUGGAGAUACUGUACUUGGAUGGAUUGGGGGGUGGGGGGGGGGCAGUGACCCCUUGUUGCCUGAGUUGGAAUUGCAGUUAAUUGGCAAGACCAUCAUUGUGCUUAUGUUCUAUGCUUGCAUUUUGCACUUUUGCAUGACUAGCUUGUCGAUACCCUA
Molecule: long non-coding RNA, 971 nt
Organism: Brienomyrus brachyistius
Lineage: Eukaryota; Metazoa; Chordata; Actinopteri; Osteoglossiformes; Mormyridae
Exons: 3
Source: RefSeq, a predicted model, not a curated record